This is a non-coding RNA of Gossypium raimondii (Peruvian cotton), 144 nucleotides long. NCBI's taxonomy places the organism in Eukaryota, Viridiplantae, Streptophyta, Magnoliopsida, Malvales, Malvaceae. The record is from Rfam.
AAUAGAAGAAUGGCAAAUCAGAUUUUUUCUCCUGAUUUUUAACUUUUUCCUAUUGAAAAAAUUCAAAUGGAGAAUUGGAUUUGAAUUUUUUAGUAGGAAAAAGUUGAAAAUCUGGAGGAAAAUUUGAUUUGUCAUUCUCUUAUC